Molecule: ribosomal RNA, 896 nt
Filed under: uncultured Flavobacterium sp.
Lineage: Bacteria; Pseudomonadati; Bacteroidota; Flavobacteriia; Flavobacteriales; Flavobacteriaceae
Description: bacterial SSU rRNA
Rfam family: Bacterial small subunit ribosomal RNA
Source: RNAcentral
UGCUAGCGGCAGGCAUAACACAUGCAAGUCGAGGGGUAGAAGCAGCUUGCUGCUUUGAGACCGGCGCACGGGUGCGUAACGCGUAUGCAAUCUGCCUCUCACAGGGGGAUAGCCCGGAGAAAUUCGGAUUAAUACCCCAUGGUAUAAUGAUGUGGCCUCACAUUAUUAUUAAAGAUUUAUCGGUGAGAGAUGAGCAUGCGUCCCAUUAGCUAGUUGGUGUGGUAACGGCACACCAAGGCUACGAUGGGUAGGGGUCCUGAGAGGGAGAUCCCCCACACUGGUACUGAGACACGGACCAGACUCCUACGGGAGGCAGCAGUGAGGAAUAUUGGUCAAUGGGCGCAAGCCUGAACCAGCCAUGCCGCGUGCAGGAUGAAGGUCCUAUGGAUUGUAAACUGCUUUUAUACGGGAAGAAACCCCUCCACGUGUGGAGGAUUGACGGUACCGUAAGAAUAAGGAUCGGCUAACUCCGUGCCAGCAGCCGCGGUAAUACGGAGGAUCCAAGCGUUAUCCGGAAUCAUUGGGUUUAAAGGGUCCGUAGGCGGCCUUGUAAGUCAGUGGUGAAAUCUCACGGCUCAACCGUGAAAUGGCCAUUGAUACUGCAGGGCUUGAAUUAUCGGGAAGCAGCUAGAAUAUGUAGUGUAGCGGUGAAAUGCUUAGAUAUUACAUGGAAUACCGAUUGCGAAGGCAGGCUGCUACCGGUGGAUUGACGCUGAUGGACGAAAGCGUGGGGAGCGAACAGGAUUAGAUACCCUGGUAGUCCACGCCGUAAACGAUGGAUACUAGCUGUUGGGGCGCAAGCUUCAGUGGCUAAGCGAAAGUGAUAAGUAUCCCACCUGGGGAGUACGAACGCAAGUUUGAAACUCAAAUGAAUUGACGGAAGGGCGAAUUCCAGC